Molecule: ribosomal RNA, 301 nt
Filed under: uncultured bacterium
Lineage: Bacteria
Description: partial 16S ribosomal RNA
Rfam family: Bacterial small subunit ribosomal RNA
Source: RNAcentral
CAGUCGCCGCGGUAAUACGUAGGUGGCAAGCGUUAUCCGGAAUUAUUGGGCGUAAAGCGCGCGUAGGCGGUUUUUUAAGUCUGAUGUGAAAGCCCACGGCUCAACCGUGGAGGGUCAUUGGAAACUGGAAAACUUGAGUGCAGAAGAGGAAAGUGGAAUUCCAUGUGUAGCGGUGAAAUGCGCAGAGAUAUGGAGGAACACCAGUGGCGAAGGCGACUUUCUGGUCUGUAACUGACGCUGAUGUGUGAAAGCGUGGGGAUCAAACAGGAUUAGAUACCCCAGUAGUCCCUGUCUCUUAUAA